Molecule: small nuclear RNA, 107 nt
Organism: Oryctolagus cuniculus (rabbit)
Lineage: Eukaryota; Metazoa; Chordata; Mammalia; Lagomorpha; Leporidae
Source: Ensembl
GUGCUCAUUUCAACAACACUAAUACUAAAAUUUGAAUGAUACAGAGAACAUCAACAUAGCUCCUGCACAGGUAUGAGGUGCAAUUUCAUGAAGUGUUCCAUACUUUU